This 394-nucleotide unclassified non-coding RNA is filed under the name soil metagenome. Its description in RNAcentral is "partial contains 5.8S ribosomal RNA, internal transcribed spacer 2, and large subunit ribosomal RNA". The stretch from base 1 to 120 matches the Rfam family "5.8S ribosomal RNA", at positions 35 to 154 of the family's 154-position model. The record is from RNAcentral.
GAUGAAGAACGCAGUGAAAUGCGAUAAGUAAUGUGAAUUGCAGAAUUCAGUGAAUCAUCAAAUCUUUGAACGCAUCUUGCGCUCCUUGGUAUUCCGAGGAGCAUGCCUGUUUGAGUGUCAUUCAACUUGUCAACCACUUUGGAAGUUGUUUUUCAAUGUGGCUUGGAUGUGGGGGAUUUGCAGGCUUUUCUUCUGUCUGCUCUCCUGAAAUGCAUUAGUGGUGUCUUAAAGGGUUCACAACCACAGGUGUGAUAAAUUAUCUAUGCCUUUGGUAUGAACAGAACUGUGCUGCUUCUAAAUGAAAUGAGCCCUUGCAGGCUCUUUCUUUUGAUGAAUUUGACCUCAAAUCAGGUAGGACUACCCGCUGAACUUAAGCAUAUCAAUAAGCGGAGGA